UGCGAAUAUUAAGCGAUCACAAGAAAAACAGUGUUCGGGGAGAUAACUCUUACAUUGAAAAGAUUUUGAUUACGCGGUGUCAGUUACAAUGGCGUAAUAACUGUUCGAUAUAUACCAUAUGUCUAAGCGACAUCUUGCGAAACAAAAAAAAUGCGAAGGAAAAAACAAUUGGCGGAAGAAAAAAAAUAGUAAUAAUAAUAAUAAUCAGAAG
RNAcentral lists this long non-coding RNA (211 nucleotides) under Mytilus galloprovincialis (Mediterranean mussel). The record is from RNAcentral. Lineage: Eukaryota; Metazoa; Mollusca; Bivalvia; Mytilida; Mytilidae.